UUUUUCUUUCUCGACCUCUUAGCAACCGACAUUUUCUCCCCAACUUUAAUGCAAUCAAUCAAUGUAAUAUGAAUGUCUCAAACUUUCUAAGGCAGGGGUAAAAAUUCAAACCAUAAUUUAUGGUUUAGGGUUCAAAAAAAAGUUUAAAAUCCAAUCUAAAAUAAACAAUGAACUAAUUAGUUAUGUACAAGUUCCAAAAGUUAACAUUAAAAUGGAUCCUGACACAAGGUUCAAAGGGGGUAAGAAAAUUCUCACUCACUCACAAGGUAGGCUACU
RNAcentral lists this long non-coding RNA (276 nucleotides) under Lathyrus oleraceus (garden pea). Its description in RNAcentral is "Pisum sativum (pea) long non-coding RNA (PSAT_LNC037856)". Lineage: Eukaryota; Viridiplantae; Streptophyta; Magnoliopsida; Fabales; Fabaceae. The record is from RNAcentral.